UCUUCUUCUUUUAUCUUCGGUUUCUUCUCUCUACACUUCUUUUCUUUUCCUCUCCUGCUACUAACCAAAAAAAUCCAGAGAGGAGCCAAAAAUCAGAGAGAAAUUGAGAGACAUCCAAGAUCAACUACUCUAGAUUGAUUGAAACUAGAAACUGAUUUAGAGUUUGUAAACCUAAAGUGAUUGAAAACCCACUUUACAGAAGUACAGAAAAAAAAAUCAACUCUUAGAAGAAGAAGAUUGAAUUCGUGGAAUCAAUUUCCUAGAAGUUCUAUAAGAAGAAGAUGGAAGUACAAAUAUUUGAAGAUUCAGAAUGGUGCAAGUAGGUGACAAAGGUUGGAUGAAUGAAGAAGAUAGGUUUAGUGACGUCUAUAAAAAAGGGAACAAAGUAAGUGAGGUUUAUGAAAGGAACAAAGCAAAAGGAAAGCAUCCCAGCACUAGUAAUGUGAUUUCAGAUGAACUUGAGGAGGUGUUUGGAAAAAAAACAAAAUGGUGGUAUUCGUGGCUACUCAUCUCAUAUGUCAAAGAAGCAAGUUGAAAUGGCAGCAAUUGGAGCUGCUGCCCUUCACCAAAGAGAUGACGAAAAUGCACUUAAACUAAGCAAAAUUGAAGUUGAAUUGGGUCCUUGGGCAGCGCAGUGAAGGUAAAUUUUAACUUGUUGUUCGUGAAGUAGCAUUGAUGUGUUCUCAAAGUUGUUGUAGAUAGUGAUAAAAGGGUUGUUUUAAGACUUGUGAAGGCAAUGAAUUUUAGACUUAAUAAAAAUUUAAAAACAAAGAAAACUUGUU
Long non-coding RNA from Papaver somniferum (opium poppy), 782 nucleotides. RefSeq lists it as uncharacterized. The record is from RefSeq and is a predicted model, not a curated record. NCBI's taxonomy places the organism in Eukaryota, Viridiplantae, Streptophyta, Magnoliopsida, Ranunculales, Papaveraceae. The transcript is spliced from 4 exons.